Sinocyclocheilus rhinocerous is the source of this 201-nucleotide long non-coding RNA. RefSeq lists it as uncharacterized. The record is from RefSeq and is a predicted model, not a curated record. The transcript has 3 exons. Lineage: Eukaryota; Metazoa; Chordata; Actinopteri; Cypriniformes; Cyprinidae.
UUCUUUCUUCAGCUGUGGAAGAGACAGGCGGUGACUCCUGGAAGUAUAGUUUGCGGCCGUGCACAGAAGUGCUUUUCUUGGACAUUUUCCACAACUACAGUCAAACUUUGACACCGGUACUUCUAGAGAUGGUGCAGAAUCUUCAAGGCCCCAGUAAUGUGGAGGACCCCGUGCAGAUGCUCAUGAAGGAUGCAGGUACCA